CAUGGAUUGCUUUCAUCUUGUUAUUUUGUUUCUGUACAAAUAAUAUUUAUCCCUCAGGACAAGAAAUCAUCCAUGUGGAAUAAAGAACCCCUUCUCAAGGUUUGAGCUUUGCUGGCUAAAGUUGGAGAUGAUGGCGGGAGUUUCAAAGGCUAUUUGAGAUAUACUCAAAAUUUAUGGUAAGUUUUCAUGAAAUUUUCAUUUUUAAUUUAAACAAUGGAUAU
RNAcentral lists this long non-coding RNA (221 nucleotides) under Capra hircus (goat). RNAcentral's name for it is "lncRNA (ENSCHIG00000002689.1)". The record is from RNAcentral. Lineage: Eukaryota; Metazoa; Chordata; Mammalia; Artiodactyla; Bovidae.